ACGUUAGCGACGGACGGGUGAGUAACACGUGGGUAACCUACCUAUAAGACUGGGAUAACUCCGGGAAACCGGGGCUAAUACCGGAUAACACAUGAAACCGCAUGGUUUCAUGAUGAAAGACGGUUUUGCUGUCACUUAUAGAUGGACCCGCGGCGUAUUAGCUAGUUGGUAAGGUAACGGCUUACCAAGGCAACGAUACGUAGCCGACCUGAGAGGGUGAUCGGCCACACUGGAACUGAGACACGGUCCAG
This 251-nucleotide ribosomal RNA is filed under the name uncultured Staphylococcus sp. RNAcentral's name for it is "partial 16S ribosomal RNA". It matches the Rfam family "Bacterial small subunit ribosomal RNA", at positions 89 to 334 of the family's 1533-position model. Lineage: Bacteria; Bacillati; Bacillota; Bacilli; Caryophanales; Staphylococcaceae. The record is from RNAcentral.